This is a long non-coding RNA of Oreochromis aureus, 1076 nucleotides long. Lineage: Eukaryota; Metazoa; Chordata; Actinopteri; Cichliformes; Cichlidae. The record is from Ensembl.
UGGCUUUUGUCAUAUUUGGUUUAAUCAGCAUGGAUGAUGUGCAUUCAUUUCAAAAACAGAAUGACGUAAACGCGGUUGGAGGCCAAGGUCAAGUUGAAUGUUGCUGUCUAGCCAUCCAGCCCGUCGGUCUAUUCAGGCUUUGAAGAGACCGUCUGAGCUCUUGAAAAGAGCGGAAGAGGGGUGAGAAUUCCUGUCCCAAUGAACGCUAUUGGAGGACAUUAACUUUUACUGUCAUUUUGUGCUCUCCCCUGUUUACUCUUGCGAACUAGUUCGAACCCGCUCCUUCUUCUUCUUCUUCUUCUUCUGGGUGGCACGUAGGCCUACUUUUGAAUGCCAGCGUUGGAAAUGUAAAAAGAACAGUGCUGAGGUCUUGUUAAUUAUUCUUUUAGGGGUGUUUCUUUCUCUCUCUCUUUUUCUUCUUCUUUUGGUAGACAUGUGUGAAAAAGAAAAUGCAUGUGUGUGUGUGUGUGUGUGUGUGUGUGUGUGUGUGUGUGUGUGUGUGUGUGUGUGUGUGUGUGUGUGUGUGUGUGUGUGUGUGUUUGUCUGGUCUGCUGGUUUGUGUUUAUGACCAGUGACUCUCCGUCUAUUCACUGCAGUAGGACCUGAUGGAUUUUCCCUUGUGGUUCUUACCAGAUUUUCCAAAUCCACCAUAAAUUGUCACCUACAUGUCCCUGUGUGUACUGUUUCUGCUAUAAGACUGGGGAACUAAACACCCAACGAGAAGCUGCUAUGGAUGGAGGUAUUUAGCUUCCAGCCCACAAGCCAAAUACUUUAUAUGAGAAUAAUAAUUGUAAAAAAAAAAUUCCGUCACAUUUGUUAUCUAAAAUAUGAACAGCUGUAAAUUCCAACACAUCAUUAACUUCGAUAAUAUAUCAACUGAAACUAGAUAUUAAUGAACAGUAAACACUGAUUUAGGCUGUUUACUUUUAUAUUGUGAACCGUAGACUUGCUGGCACCGGGCGACAAAAAAGGGAUGGACUGGGGUUGUUAAACAAAAGGAAGCUUAAGACAGCAGUUUGUGUUAAAAAAAAAAAAAAAAAUAGAAAUAAAAAGUGUGCUUGAUGCUUUGUCUUUUU